GAUGAAGAACGCAGUGAAAUGCGAUAAGUAAUGUGAAUUGCAGAAUUCAGUGAAUCAUCGAAUCUUUGAACGCACAUUGCGCCCCCUGGUAUUCCGGGGGGCAUGCCUGUCCGAGCGUCAUUACAACCCUCAAGCUCAGCUUGGUAUUGGGCCCCGCCGCUUCGGCGGGCCCUAAAGUCAGUGGCGGUGCCGUCCGGCUCCGAGCGUAGUAAUUCUUCUCGCUCUGGAGGCCCGGUCGUGUGCUUGCCAGCAACCCCCAAUUUUUUUCAGGUUGACCUCGGAUCAGGUAGGGAUACCCGCUGAACUUAAGCAUAUCAAUAAGCGGAGGA
This 329-nucleotide unclassified non-coding RNA is filed under the name soil metagenome. Its description in RNAcentral is "partial contains 5.8S ribosomal RNA, internal transcribed spacer 2, and large subunit ribosomal RNA". The stretch from base 1 to 120 matches the Rfam family "5.8S ribosomal RNA", at positions 35 to 154 of the family's 154-position model. The record is from RNAcentral.